ACAAUGAAGAGUUUGAUCCUGGCUCAGGAUGAACGCUAGCUACAGGCUUAACACAUGCAAGUCGAGGGGCAGCAUGGUCUUAGCUUGCUAAGGCCGAUGGCGACCGGCGCACGGGUGAGUAACACGUAUCCAACCUGCCGUCUACUCUUGGACAGCCUUCUGAAAGGAAGAUUAAUACAAGAUGGCAUCAUGAGUCCGCAUGUUCACAUGAUUAAAGGUAUUCCGGUAGACGAUGGGGAUGCGUUCCAUUAGAUAGUAGGCGGGGUAACGGCCCACCUAGUCUUCGAUGGAUAGGGGUUCUGAGAGGAAGGUCCCCCACAUUGGAACUGAGACACGGUCCAAACUCCUACGGGAGGCAGCAGUGAGGAAUAUUGGUCAAUGGGCGAGAGCCUGAACCAGCCAAGUAGCGUGAAGGAUGACUGCCCUAUGGGUUGUAAACUUCUUUUAUAAAGGAAUAAAGUCGGGUAUGCAUACCCGUUUGCAUGUACUUUAUGAAUAAGGAUCGGCUAACUCCGUGCCAGCAGCCGCGGUAAUACGGAGGAUCCGAGCGUUAUCCGGAUUUAUUGGGUUUAAAGGGAGCGUAGAUGGAUGUUUAAGUCAGUUGUGAAAGUUUGCGGCUCAACCGUAAAAUUGCAGUUGAUACUGGAUAUCUUGAGUGCAGUUGAGGCAGGCGGAAUUCGUGGUGUAGCGGUGAAAUGCUUAGAUAUCACGAGGAACUCCGAUUGCGAAGGCAGCCUGCUAAGCUGCAACUGACAUUGAGGCUCGAAAGUGUGGGUAUCAAACAGGAUUAGAUACCCUGGUAGUCCACACGGUAAACGAUGAAUACUCGCUGUUUGCGAUAUACGGCAAGCGGCCAAGCGAAAGCGUUAAGUAUUCCACCUGGGGAGUACGCCGGCAACGGUGAAACUCAAAGGAAUUGACGGGGGCCCGCACAAGCGGAGGAACAUGUGGUUUAAUUCGAUGAUACGCGAGGAACCUUACCCGGGCUUAAAUUGCAGAUGAAUUACGGUGAAAGCCGUAAGCCGCAAGGCAUCUGUGAAGGUGCUGCAUGGUUGUCGUCAGCUCGUGCCGUGAGGUGUCGGCUUAAGUGCCAUAACGAGCGCAACCCUUGUUGUCAGUUACUAACAGGUUCUGCUGAGGACUCUGACAAGACUGCCAUCGUAAGAUGUGAGGAAGGUGGGGAUGACGUCAAAUCAGCACGGCCCUUACGUCCGGGGCUACACACGUGUUACAAUGGGGGGUACAGAGGGCCGCUACCACGCGAGUGGAUGCCAAUCCCAAAAACCUCUCUCAGUUCGGACUGGAGUCUGCAACCCGACUCCACGAAGCUGGAUUCGCUAGUAAUCGCGCAUCAGCCACGGCGCGGUGAAUACGUUCCCGGGCCUUGUACACACCGCCCGUCAAGCCAUGGGAGCCGGGGGUACCUGAAGUGCGUAACCGCGAGGAGCGCCCUAGGGUAAAACUGGUGACUGGGGCUAAGUCGUAACAAGGUAGCCGUACCGGAAGGUGCGGCUGGAACACCUCCUUU
Molecule: ribosomal RNA, 1528 nt
Filed under: Phocaeicola vulgatus
Lineage: Bacteria; Pseudomonadati; Bacteroidota; Bacteroidia; Bacteroidales; Bacteroidaceae
Also listed under: 1 other name
Description: bacterial SSU rRNA
Rfam family: Bacterial small subunit ribosomal RNA
Source: RNAcentral